Long non-coding RNA from Lagopus leucura (white-tailed ptarmigan), 397 nucleotides. RefSeq lists it as uncharacterized. The transcript is spliced from 3 exons. The record is from RefSeq and is a predicted model, not a curated record. NCBI's taxonomy places the organism in Eukaryota, Metazoa, Chordata, Aves, Galliformes, Phasianidae.
UCAUGUUGGCCCUGUACAUGGUCAUGAUUAUUUGUGCAGAUGGGAUCCUGCUGAUGCCUGCGUUGCCUAUAUGGUGUAUGGAGAUGCUGCCCUGCACUGUGCUUUGUGGUCUAUGAGAUUGUGAUUAGGAAAUGAGGCUAACUGCACAGCUGGGAAGAUGGUCCUCACAUUCCUCCUAUCCAAAUGGCCCAGAGCCAUCAGUAGUUUCUGCUGAUGAAAAGCCACAGAGCUCGGCAGUACGUUGCUGUUUUUUUAAGAACUUGUGGUCAUUAUGGAAGAUAAAUGACAGUCCUUGGAGCUCAUGGCUGAAGUACACAUUAGUCACCAGUAAAUGAUGUAUAAAAAAUAUUCAGCUUGCAAAAAGAUAAUGGUGGUUCCUAUUUGAAAAUGCAGAAAA